RNAcentral lists this ribosomal RNA (468 nucleotides) under uncultured bacterium. RNAcentral's name for it is "partial 16S ribosomal RNA". It matches the Rfam family "Bacterial small subunit ribosomal RNA", at positions 28 to 507 of the family's 1533-position model. The record is from RNAcentral.
GACGAACGCUGGCGGCGUGCUUAACACAUGCAAGUCGAACGGAAAGGCCCUGCUUUUGUGGGGUGCUCGAGUGGCGAACGGGUGAGUAACACGUGAGUAACCUGCCCUUGACUUUGGGAUAACUUCAGGAAACUGGGGCUAAUACCGGAUAGGAGCUCCUGCUGCAUGGUGGGGGUUGGAAAGUUUCGGCGGUUGGGGAUGGACUCGCGGCUUAUCAGCUUGUUGGUGGGGUAGUGGCUUACCAAGGCUUUGACGGGUAGCCGGCCUGAGAGGGUGACCGGCCACAUUGGGACUGCGAUACGGCCCAGACUCCUACGGGAGGCAGCAGUGGGGAAUCUUGCACAAUGGGCGGAAGCCUGAUGCAGCCACGCCGCGUGCGGGAUGACGGCCUUCGGGUUGUAAACCGCUUUCGCCUGUGACGAAGCGUGAGUGACGGUAAUGGGUAAAGAAGCACCGGCUAACUACGUG